RNAcentral lists this ribosomal RNA (446 nucleotides) under uncultured prokaryote. RNAcentral's name for it is "bacterial SSU rRNA". It matches the Rfam family "Bacterial small subunit ribosomal RNA", at positions 355 to 796 of the family's 1533-position model. The record is from RNAcentral.
UCGAGAAUCUUCGGCAAUGGACGCAAGUCUGACCGAGCGACGCCGCGUGCGGGAUGAAGGCCUUCGGGUUGUAAACCGCUGUCAGAGGGGAUGAAAUCAGGUAGGGCUAUCCCUAUUUGUUGACAUAUCCUCAGAGGAAGUACGGGCUAAGUUCGUGCCAGCAGCCGCGGUAAGACGAACCGUACGAACGUUAUUCGGAAUUACUGGGCUUAAAGGGUGCGUAGGCGGCGCGGAAAGUUGGGUGUGAAAGCCCUCGGCUCAACCGAGGAACUGCGCUCAAAACUGCCGUGCUUGAGGGAGACAGAGGUGAGCGGAACUGAUGGUGGAGCGGUGAAAUGCGUUGAUAUCAUCAGGAACACCGGUGGCGAAAGCGGCUCACUGGGUCUCUUCUGACGCUGAGGCACGAAAGCCAGGGGAGCGAACGGGAUUAGAUACCCCCGUAGUCC